Molecule: transfer RNA, 65 nt
Filed under: Coleoptera sp. 32 KM-2017
Lineage: Eukaryota; Metazoa; Arthropoda; Insecta; Coleoptera
Also listed under: 1 other name
Description: tRNA-Val
Source: RNAcentral
CAAACUGGAGCUUGAUAAAGCAUUUUAUUUACAUUAAAAGGAUAUUGAUUAGUCAAUUGGUUUGA